Molecule: ribosomal RNA, 538 nt
Filed under: Limosilactobacillus reuteri
Lineage: Bacteria; Bacillati; Bacillota; Bacilli; Lactobacillales; Lactobacillaceae
Description: bacterial SSU rRNA
Rfam family: Bacterial small subunit ribosomal RNA
Source: RNAcentral
CGUGAGAGUAACUGUUCACGCAGUGACGGUAUCCAACCAGAAAGUCACGGCUAACUACGUGCCAGCAGCCGCGGUAAUACGUAGGUGGCAAGCGUUAUCCGGAUUUAUUGGGCGUAAAGCGAGCGCAGGCGGUUGCUUAGGUCUGAUGUGAAAGCCUUCGGCUUAACCGAAGAAGUGCAUCGGAAACCGGGCGACUUGAGUGCAGAAGAGGACAGUGGAACUCCAUGUGUAGCGGUGGAAUGCGUAGAUAUAUGGAAGAACACCAGUGGCGAAGGCGGCUGUCUGGUCUGCAACUGACGCUGAGGCUCGAAAGCAUGGGUAGCGAACAGGAUUAGAUACCCUGGUAGUCCAUGCCGUAAACGAUGAGUGCUAGGUGUUGGAGGGUUUCCGCCCUUCAGUGCCGGAGCUAACGCAUUAAGCACUCCGCCUGGGGAGUACGACCGCAAGGUUGAAACUCAAAGGAAUUGACGGGGGCCCGCACAAGCGGUGGAGCAUGUGGUUUAAUUCGAAGCUACGCGAAGAACCUUACCAGGUCUUG